Molecule: transfer RNA, 76 nt
Filed under: Candidatus Berkelbacteria bacterium CG10_big_fil_rev_8_21_14_0_10_43_13
Lineage: Bacteria; Candidatus Berkelbacteria
Description: tRNA-Thr
Rfam family: tRNA
About the family: Transfer RNA (tRNA) molecules are approximately 80 nucleotides in length. Their secondary structure includes four short double-helical elements and three loops (D, anti-codon, and T loops). Further hydrogen bonds mediate the characteristic L-shaped molecular structure. tRNAs have two regions of fundamental functional importance: the anti-codon, which is responsible for specific mRNA codon recognition, and the 3' end, to which the tRNAs corresponding amino acid is attached (by aminoacyl-tRNA synthetases). tRNAs cope with the degeneracy of the genetic code in two manners: having more than one tRNA (with a specific anti-codon) for a particular amino acid; and 'wobble' base-pairing, i.e. permitting non-standard base-pairing at the 3rd anti-codon position.
Source: RNAcentral
GCCGAUGUAGCUCAGCUGGUAGAGCAACACUUUCGUAAAGUGGAGGUCGCGAGUUCGAAUCUCGCCUUCGGCUCCA